ACGGGAGGGCAGCGGUGGGGAAUAUUGGGCAAUGGGCGAAAGCCUGACCCAGCAACGCCGCGUGAGGGAAGAAGAUUUUCGGAUUGUAAACCUCUUUUAUGUGGGACGAAGGAAGUGACGGUACCACAUGAAUAAGCCCCGGCUAACUACGUGCCAGCAGCCGCGGUAAUACGUAGGGGGCGAGCGUUAUCCGGAUUUACUGGGUGUAAAGGGCGCGUAGGCGGGGAUGCAAGUCAGAUGUGAAAUCCAUGGGCUUAACUCAUGAACUGCAUUUGAAACUGUAUCUCUUGAGUGCUGGAGAGGUAGAUGGAAUUCCUUGUGUAGCGGUGAAAUGCGUAGAUAUAAGGAAGAACACCAGUGGCGAAGGCGAUCUACUGGACAGUAACUGACGCUGAGGCGCGAGAGCGUGGGGAGCAAACAGGAUUAGAUACCCUGGUA
This 438-nucleotide ribosomal RNA is filed under the name uncultured Oscillospiraceae bacterium. Its description in RNAcentral is "bacterial SSU rRNA". It matches the Rfam family "Bacterial small subunit ribosomal RNA", at positions 341 to 792 of the family's 1533-position model. The record is from RNAcentral. Lineage: Bacteria; Bacillati; Bacillota; Clostridia; Eubacteriales; Oscillospiraceae.